GAGAAUAAGCAACAUCAUGGCAACAAUCCUGUCUGUGCUACUCCCUCCCUGGCACAUUGUAAACACUCACAAGACACUGGAGACCACACUUACUGAGGACCCCAAUGACUUAAUGUAAGGAAGUACGCCUAGUUGGAAUCUCUACACUUUUUACUUAGGGUACUUCCUUCCUCGAAUCUGGAGUUUCUAGCAUCUUUCUACUCCAAGAAAUGUGACAAGCCUCCUCUGCUGCUCUCACCUUUCUCCUUUCCAUGGCGAGAAACUUAAUGAGAUCACUCAAGGCCUUGAGACCAAGAAGAGAGCAAGUCAAGGAAGAAUGAAAACAGCACGGUAAUGUUGAUGGUGAGAAGUCAAGGUAAAGAAAGCUUCAGAGUAAGAAAUUAAGGGAGAUGUAGGGGGCUCUGUAAAGGGCUAGAGACCCCAUUUGGUCUGGACAAAAACACAGCAGAUCCCUGAGGCUGGGCAAGAUCAUGAAAGAGGUUGUGAAUUGGAUUCAUCCUCAGUGUUUGUAGAGAAAAGUCUUAAAUUCUUGAAACCCUAAAAUCCUUUUAGUUUGUCAAAGUUAAUUGAAGAGUGAGUGAGUAUUCACAACUCUUUAGCUAUAAAAAUGGAGCUGCUCAUGUUAAGUGAAAGUUUUUGGCUGAAAGUGUGCCUAGAAGACAGCACUGCCAUAGUUCCUUCAGAGAGUGGUCAUGGUCACUUCUCAAGAGACACAUAUCAUAAACUGUGACUUUGGAAAAAAUUCUUGUCUUUCUCACUUACGAUCCUAACAUUUGUGAAGUCUAACUGGGGCAAGAGAAUAAAUGGAAGCCCACAUACAAUAGGUCUAAAUGUUUAAAAGUUGUAAAUCAGUCUAAUGAAACAUAAUCUAUUCUGCUACCUUGGUAAAUGAGUCUUCAUUAUGCAAAAUCAAAAAUGUGUGAAGGGAGUUCCCUGGUGGCCUACUGAUCAAGGGCUCAGUGUUGUGACUUCUGUGGCUUGCUUUGCUACUGUGCCUUGGGUUCAAUCCCCAGCCUAGGAACUUCUGCAUGCUGUGAGCAUGGCCAAAAAAUAAUGUGUGAAAGGUAUCUUUUUAUAAGUUGGAUAGUUUGUGGAAUAUCAAAGGCAACUGAAUUUAAUUAUUUUUGAGUACUGUUCUGGGUGUUCUGUUAUUGAGAUAAUGAUAUAAGUUUGAGUAAUAAAGACAAGAUUUUUAAAUGAUUAUA
Molecule: long non-coding RNA, 1205 nt
Organism: Phacochoerus africanus (Common warthog)
Lineage: Eukaryota; Metazoa; Chordata; Mammalia; Artiodactyla; Suidae
Exons: 2
Source: RefSeq, a predicted model, not a curated record